GACGAACGCUGGCGGCGUGCCUAAUACAUGCAAGUAGAACGCACAGUUUAUACCGUAGCUUGCUACACCAUAGACUGUGAGUUGCGAACGGGUGAGUAACGCGUAGGUAACCUGCCUGGUAGCGGGGGAUAACUAUUGGAAACGAUAGCUAAUACCGCAUAAUAUUUAUUAUUGCAUGAUAAUUAAUUGAAAGGUGCAAUUGCACCACUACCAGAUGGACCUGCGUUGUAUUAGCUAGUAGGUGAGGUAACGGCUCAACUAUGCGACGAUACAUAGCCGACCGGAAAAGGUGAACGGGCAAACUGGGAAUGGGACACGGCCCAGACUCCUAAGGGAGGCAGCAGUAGGGAAUCUUCGGCAAUGGACGAAAGUCUGACCGAGAAACGCCGCGGGAGUGAAGAAGGUUGUCGGAUCGUAAAGCUCUGUUGUAAGAGAAGAACGGGUGUGAGGGUGGAAAGUUCACACUGUGACGGUAUCUUACCAGAAAGGGGCGGCUAACUACGUG
Molecule: ribosomal RNA, 505 nt
Filed under: uncultured bacterium
Lineage: Bacteria
Description: partial 16S ribosomal RNA
Rfam family: Bacterial small subunit ribosomal RNA
Source: RNAcentral